CUGGCUCAGGACGAACGCUGGCGGCGUGCCUAAUACAUGCAAGUCGAGCGCGGGAAGCUUGUCUGAUCUCUUCGGAGUGAAGCGAGUGGAACGAGCGGCGGACGGGUGAGUAACACGUGGGCAACCUACCUAUAAGACUGGGAUAACUCCGGGAAACCGGGGCUAAUACCGGAUAACACUUUUCUUCNCAUGAAGGGAAGUUGAAAGAUGGCUUCUUGCUAUCACUUACAGAUGGGCCCGCGGCGCAUUAGCUAGUUGGUGAGGUAAGAGCUCACCAAGGCGACGAUGCGUAGCCGACCUGAGAGGGUGAUCGGCCACACUGGGACUGAGACACGGCCCAGACUCCUACGGGAGGCAGCAGUAGGGAAGACUUCCGCAAUGGACGAAAGNCUGACGGAGCAACGCCGCGUGAACGAAGAAGGUUUUCGGANNGUAAAGUUCUGUUGUUAGGGAAGAA
RNAcentral lists this ribosomal RNA (457 nucleotides) under bacterium LCKW-isolateW. RNAcentral describes it as "SSU rRNA". It matches the Rfam family "Bacterial small subunit ribosomal RNA", at positions 19 to 449 of the family's 1533-position model. The record is from RNAcentral.